GAUGAACGCUAGCUACAGGCUUAACACAUGCAAGUCGAGGGGAAACGACAUCGAAAGCUUGCUUUUGAUGGGCGUCGACCGGCGCACGGGUGAGUAACGCGUAUCCAACCUGCCCACCACUUGGGGAUAACCUUGCGAAAGUAAGACUAAUACCCAAUGAUAUCUCUAGAAGACAUCUGAAAGAGAUUAAAGAUUUAUCGGUGAUGGAUGGGGAUGCGCUCUGAUUAGCUUGUUGGCGGGGUAACGGCCCACCAAGGCGACGAUCAGUAGGGGUUCUGAGAGGACAGUCCCCCACAUGAGAACUGAGACACGGGCCAAACUACUAAGGGAGGCAGCAGUGAGGAAUGUUGGUCAAUGGGCGAGAGCCUGAACCAGCCAAGUAGCGUGCAGGAUGACGGCCCUAUGGGUUGUAAACUGCUUUUAUAAGGGAAUAAAGUGAGCCUCGUGAGGCUUUUUGCAUGUACCUUAUGAAUAAGGACCGGCUAAUUCCGUGCCAGCCGCCGCCGUAA
This 509-nucleotide ribosomal RNA is filed under the name uncultured bacterium. RNAcentral's name for it is "partial 16S ribosomal RNA". It matches the Rfam family "Bacterial small subunit ribosomal RNA", at positions 28 to 523 of the family's 1533-position model. The record is from RNAcentral.